UUAUUACUUCUUCCACCAUACCAACCUCACUAACCCUAAUUUAAUUUACUACCAAAUCAGCCAUAACUAACGUUCAAGAUUCGAUUUUUGAAGGCAAAGGUUGAGUAGGCUUUGUACGGAAGAGGACGAUCAUGCAUCUACUGAAGAAGUGCGAGGCAAGCAUGGAUAUUUGCUGCCAUUGUUGAUUUCUUGGACCCCUAGGAAUCCUGGUAGAAGGUAUUGAGCUAGUCCAUACUAUGGGGGUGCUAGAGCAUGUGAUUUUUGGCGUUGGAGGGAUGGAGAAAUUGACCCUAGAUCAAAGUUUGUUAUUCCUAAAUUGAAAGAAGAGAUUGGAAAACUUGAGAGCCAAGUUGAAGUUUUUGAAAAACUAGAUAAUCUGAUGGCAGCAAAGAAGGAUAAACAUGAGAUUGGUAAGAUAGGCAUUCAACUAGAUUACUUGAAAACUGAAAUGGAGAAGAUGAAAGAAAGGAAGAAGAAAUGGAGGAGCAAAGUUGUUCGAUCAAGGAAAAGGGAGAAGGUUCUUUGGUUUAUCAUUUUAUGUUGUUUAAUUAUCGGUGUUAGUACUAGGUUUCAAGUGAAUGAGGAUGAUUUGAAGUUGCCAUAGGCUCUUUGUUUCUCUUUUUGUUGUACUACAAUCUUUAUAUUGAACCUUGUUGGUAUAUGAUACAAAUCAAUG
Non-coding RNA from Nicotiana tabacum (common tobacco), 676 nucleotides. The record is from RefSeq and is a predicted model, not a curated record. Lineage: Eukaryota; Viridiplantae; Streptophyta; Magnoliopsida; Solanales; Solanaceae.